RNAcentral lists this ribosomal RNA (504 nucleotides) under uncultured bacterium. Its description in RNAcentral is "bacterial SSU rRNA". It matches the Rfam family "Bacterial small subunit ribosomal RNA", at positions 8 to 510 of the family's 1533-position model. The record is from RNAcentral.
AGAGUUUGAUCAUGGCUCAGGAUGAACGCUAGCGGCAGGCUUAACACAUGCAAGUCGAGGGGUAUCACGCUUUCGGGCGUGAGAGACCGGCGCACGGGUGCGUAACGCGUAUAGAACCUACCUUUUACAGAGGGAUAGCCCAGAGAAAUUUGGAUUAAUACCUCAUAAUAUUGUUGAAUGGCAUCACUUGACAAUUAAAGUUUCGGCGGUAAAAGAUGAGCAUGCGUCCCAUUAGCUAGUUGGUAAGGUAACGGCUUACCAAGGCUACGAUGGGUAGGGGUCCUGAGAGGGAGAUCCCCCACACUGGUACUGAGACACGGACCAGACUCCUACGGGAGGCAGCAGUAAGGAAUAUUGGUCAAUGGACGCAAGUCUGAACCAGCCAUGCCGCGUGCAGGAUGACGGCCUUAUGGGUUGUAAACUGCUUUUUAUACAGGAAGAAACACUCCCUCGUGAGGGAACUUGACGGUACUGUAUGAAUAAGCACCGGCUAACUCCGUGCCA